UGGGGUGGAAUGUGUCAAGCCUCCAGAGAAGUCUGUGCCUGCUGUGCUGGGCUGUCAGAGGCAACCUGCUCGCUCCAGGAGGUGAUGGGGAUCCCCUCAUUCCUAGCCCUCCCUGCUGCCAGGAGUGACCGAGCUGCCUGCACAUCCUGCCAUCCUUUGGGCCACAUGCUACUGUGGACGGCUCUGCUAUUCCUCGCUCCUGUUGCUGGGAAACAUGCAGGUCUCCCGAAGGCUGUGGUGAGCAUUCAGCCUGCGUGGAUCAAUGUGCUCAAGGAGGAUUACGUGACGCUGAUGUGUCAGGGGACCAGCUUGUAUGAAGGCAACCUCACCCUGUGGUUCCAUAAUGGGAGCUUCAUCCAGAGCCAGAACCAGUCCAGCUAUAGCUUUAAGGCCAGCAGCAAUGACAGCGGAGACUACAGGUGUCAGAGAGAGCAGACCAGCCUCAGCGACCCUGUGCAUCUGUACGUGACUUCCGACUGGCUGCUGCUCCAGACCCCUAGCCUCGUGUUCCAGGAAGGGGAGCCCAUCGUGCUGAGGUGCCACAGCUGGAGAAACAGUUCUCUGAAUAAGGUCAUAUUCUUCCAGAAUGGAAAAUCCAAGACGUUUUCCCAUCUGCGUUCCAACUUCUGUAUCCCGCAAGCAAACCUCAGUCACAGUGGCGAGUACCACUGCACGGGAUUUAUCGGGCAGACGGUGUACUCAUCACAGCCUGUGACCAUCACUGUCCAAGGGUCCAGCUGGAGCAACUCCUUGUCGGUGACGAUCGCAGUGGCUGUAGUCGCUUGGAUUGCUGCAAUGGCUAUUGCUGGCACCAUAGUAGCCUGGUUCUGCCUCAGGCGAAAGAUUUCAGCCCUCCCAGGAACCCUUGAACACAGGGAAAUGGGAGAGACCCUCCCUGAGGAACCAGGUGAGUGCAGCUCCCGCUCUGGGGGCUCAAUGACACCCUGUCUUGUGCAUCAAGAAGCUGCUUGUGUGAGUUCUGCUGGGAGCACAGGAGAGGGAGGGGGCAGUGGGCAGAGGGCAGGGGCUCAAAUCUCUUGGUCAGUUCUGAGACUAACUCCUGGGCCUAAAGAGGACCUCACUGGAGACAAGGAGAAGAUGAACACCUGUCCUAGAUAGAGAGGCGAGGGCCUUGUCCGAGUUUCUGGGGUCAGAACUGCUGGGGAUUUUUCCAGAGCAGGACAUCAGAGAUACUUAGGUCUUUCUGUGAAGCUUUGGAAGAGCUGGCAGAGGACUGGGGUUAGACGCUGUAAGACUAAGGCAAAUAGAAUUAAGGGGAUAAAAUUCUAGAGGAAAGGAGAAAGAGCCCUAAGGAAUAAAACCUAGAUUUGCUGCAGAGUCUGUCUCUGUGGAAUGAUUGGGUAAGGGUACCAGGGCUCAGCUCUUAGUGGAACAUUAAGAGGAGAUUUCGGCCUGAGAAAGUUCUGGGGUACCACGUGCAUCAGUGGGCUUUACUCUGUGGGCAAAUCUUGGUUCUAAUGCCCACUCGUGUAGGCUUAUUAAAACGCAGGCCUGGCCCUAGCUCUGUCACUAUCAUAAAAUGGAAUCUUGAGUGUCAUUCCCACUCUUGGGGUUUAGUCACCUCAUUGAGGAGAUGAGUGGGUUGGCCUGGGUGAUCUCUAAGCCCUUCCAGGCCUGACAUUCUGAGAGUCAGUGACCAUCCAAGCCCUGGCCCAAGUGGGAAUGUGUUAAAGGAGCAGUAAUAUUCCAGGCGACUUCCUGACUGCAGUUAAAGCCAGAGCACGAAGGAAACUGGAGCUGUCUCUGGGGACUCCCAGACAGCAGAAACGGACAGGAAAAAGAAGCCUUCGAGGACUCCACCUCAGGUGGCUGGAGUAUGACUCAGAGCAGAGCCAACAGGUUUGAGAGCUUGAGCAAAAUGGCACAGCUGUCCGGCUGCGCUUUGAGCAAGGCCCCUAUGUCCUGUGGCCAGGCCAAAUGGGGAUAUGGACCAGAGUCUUCACCAGGGCCAAAGUGCUGUAGAAAAAAGUGCAAACACAAGUGGAUUAGCCAUUUUGAUGUUUGCUUCUACCUACACCAGCAUAAAUAUAUUUCACAAGGCAUUUAUUUCGCAGGAAGGCACUGGGGCUGAUGGUUUCCCAAAAGGCACAGCUAAGUUGCCGGGAUGGUUGAGGGAUGCAUUAGAAGGAGAAUUCAGGACGUGGUUUGUUCCAGAAGCUGGAGCAUGGCACACAGGGACUCAUUGUGUCCUGGAGAUGAAUGAAGACACUAGAUGCAUUGUCUCAGACUCCCUCCCCACUUCCUGAGGAAUGCUGCUUUGCAGUUACUGAGGCUGCUUUUCGCACUGGCAAAGUGAGUUUAUUGGCAAAAACAUGAGGACAUUUGGAUGUGUCUUAGAUCUUUACCAGGGAGAGUACUGGCUGGGUUGCUUGCUUCCUUCUUUCUUUUCCUCCAGCCUCCCUUGCUCACUCUCACUCUCAUGCUUUCUUUCUUUGUGAGAUCAGGGAGUGUCAGAUUCUUCAAAGUUCCAACAGAGAUAUACUACAUCUGGCCAAUGUGGAAAGGCCACCAUCUGUGGCUGGCAAACAUCUGGAUUACUUCACUCUAAUACCAACACCCCCAUCUCCUCCCCAGUAUAUCUCAGAUCCCCGAAGCUGCCUGGUUGCUUUGAGGAAAACUCAGUGAUCCUCUGAAAUGAGUGCAGCACAAAUGAGCGCCUCCCUCUGCUAGUGUGGCCCGUGCGGGAGGCCAUGUCUGGGAUACCAAGGGUGGGUGGGGGAUGAAGCUUUUGGCCUGCAGGCCUGAGUUGGGGAUCAGUGGUCCUCGCCUCAAGCCUGGUCUGGGCCUCAAGCAGCAGCGCGGGUAGGCAGUGCCCCCGCUGAUCUCUGUUCUUUUUGCCCACAGCCAAUCUCGCUGAUGCUGAAGAGGCUGCCAAAAUGGAGGCUGAGAAUACAGUCACCUAUUCACUUCUCUCGUAUCCGGAAGUUGCAGAGGAAGAAACAGAGUCGUCGGUUUACCAGAACAACAUUUAGUUUUCAUUUUCUUGCCUGGAAC
Globicephala melas (long-finned pilot whale) is the source of this 3015-nucleotide non-coding RNA. NCBI's taxonomy places the organism in Eukaryota, Metazoa, Chordata, Mammalia, Artiodactyla, Delphinidae. The record is from RefSeq and is a predicted model, not a curated record.